This is a long non-coding RNA of Symphalangus syndactylus (siamang), 610 nucleotides long. RefSeq lists it as uncharacterized. The record is from RefSeq and is a predicted model, not a curated record. NCBI's taxonomy places the organism in Eukaryota, Metazoa, Chordata, Mammalia, Primates, Hylobatidae.
AUCAGCCUGGCUGAAGGAGUGAUGUGUGGAAAUGUUAACAUUUACUGGCUUUUCUGAACCCAUUGGAUCUCCUCACUCCUCUAGCCUGGGAAAACACCUGUUAUGCUUCCACAGAGCUGACCAAUUUUUUUCUGCUUUACACGUGGAAAUGCAAUUUCCUUUAGCCUUCAGAGUCGACAUUUGUAGGGAAAUCUCCUGCUUGUUUUUCUCAUCUCUGUUUCCAUUUCAAAAUGUCUCAGCAAGUUUUUCUCCAAGCAAACUCUGCAUAAAUGAAUGUAUAGCAGCAUUUGCUACACAUUAGAGUCCAGGGUAUUGUGUAUACAUCGAAUAAUUUUGUAGAAGAAAUCCUCUAGCGUGAAGGCAAGAGCAAGCUAAGGCAGGCUCUGAGGAUUAAGACCUGCAAGUAUGUCAUUAUCACACACUGGCUGACCCUGUGGAGCCCCAUUCAAAAAGUGAACAUACAUUCAAAUUGGGAAGAGCUGCAGCAGCAAUUCCUCCUUAACGAAUUGGGGCAGGGAAGGAGAGCUGGAGACAGUUUGGAAUAUCUUCCUUUACAAUGUCACUAAAGUCAAGGGUGGGACCAGGUGGAGAUAACUGAAUUAUGGGGGCA